Molecule: ribosomal RNA, 941 nt
Filed under: uncultured bacterium
Lineage: Bacteria
Description: bacterial SSU rRNA
Rfam family: Bacterial small subunit ribosomal RNA
Source: RNAcentral
AGAGUUUGAUCAUGGCUCAGGAUGAACGCUAGCGGCAGGCUUAAUACAUGCAAGUCGUGGGGCAGCAUGACUGUAGCAAUACAGUUGAUGGCGACCGGCAAACGGGUGCGGAACACGUACACAACCUUCCUUCGAGUGGGGAAUAGCCCGGGGAAACCCGGAUUAAUACCCCGUAACAUAAUGGAGUGGCAUCACUUUAUUAUUAUAGCUCCGGCGCUUGAAGAUGGGUGUGCGACUGAUUAGGCAGUUGGCGGGGUAACGGCCCACCAAACCUACGAUCAGUAACUGGUGUGAGAGCACGACCAGUCACACGGGCACUGAGACACGGGCCCGACUCCUACGGGAGGCAGCAGUAAGGAAUAUUGGUCAAUGGACGCAAGUCUGAACCAGCCAUGCCGCGUGGAGGAUGAAGGCCCUCUGGGUUGUAAACUUCUUUUAUCUGGGACGAAAAAGGGACUUUCUAGUUCAACUGACGGUACCAGAGGAAUAAGCACCGGCUAACUCCGUGCCAGCAGCCGCGGUAAUACGGAGGGUGCAAGCGUUAUCCGGAUUCACUGGGUUUAAAGGGUGCGUAGGUGGGUUGGUAAGUCAGUGGUGAAAUCUCCAGGCUUAACUUGGAAACUGCCAUUGAUACUAUUAAUCUUGAAUACCGUGGAGGUCAGCGGAAUAUGUCAUGUAGCGGUGAAAUGCUUAGAUAUGACAUAGAACACCAAUUGCGAAGGCAGCUGGCUACACGAAUAUUGACACUGAUGCACGAAAGCGUGGGGAUCAAACAGGAUUAGAUACCCUGGUAGUCCACGCCCUAAACGAUGGAUACUCGACAUACGCGAUUAACUGUGUGUGUCUGAGCGAAAGCAUUAAGUAUCCCACCUGGGAAGUACGAUCGCAAGAUUGAAACUCAAAGGAAUUGGGCGGGGGUCCGCACAAGCGGUGGAGCAUGU